UAACCUACAAACCUAUACCAGAGCAAAGCUGGCUCCAUCCUGGGGGCGGAGUUGGAUUCAUGGGAGGUGAUCUUGGAGGGGAGGAUGCUCCUCAAAUUGCGGAGCAUCCUGAACAAUACAGCUCAUCCCCUCCAUGACACACUGGUCAACCUAAGGAGCAC
Amblyraja radiata (thorny skate) is the source of this 161-nucleotide long non-coding RNA. RefSeq lists it as uncharacterized. NCBI's taxonomy places the organism in Eukaryota, Metazoa, Chordata, Chondrichthyes, Rajiformes, Rajidae. The transcript has 4 exons. The record is from RefSeq and is a predicted model, not a curated record.